AUGCUCGCUUCGACAACAUGUGUGCUAAAAUUAGAACAAUACAGAGAAGAUUGCAUGGCCCUGUGCAAGGACGACACGCAAAUUCAUGAAGCGUUCUCAUAUUUU
This is a small nuclear RNA of Otolemur garnettii (small-eared galago), 105 nucleotides long. Lineage: Eukaryota; Metazoa; Chordata; Mammalia; Primates; Galagidae. The record is from Ensembl.